AGUGAACGCUGGCGGUAGGCCUAACACAUGCAAGUCGAACGGCAGCACAGUAAGAGCUUGCUCUUACGGGUGGCGAGUGGCGGACGGGUGAGGAAUACAUCGGAAUCUACUUUUUCAUGGGGGAUAACGUAGGGAAACUUACGCUAAUACCGCAUACGACCUACGGGUGAAAGCAGGGGAUCUUCGGACCUUUCGCGAUUGAAUGAGCCGAUGUCGGAUUAGCUAGUUGGCGGGGUAAAGGCCCACCAAGGCGACGAUCCGUAGCUGGUCUGAGAGGAUGAUCAGCCACACUGGAACUGAGACACGGUCCAGACUCCUACGGGAGGCAGCAGUGGGGAAUAUUGGACAAUGGGCGCAAGCCUGAUCCAGCCAUACCGCGUGGGUGAAGAAGGCCUUCGGGUUGUAAAGCCCUUUUGUUGGGAAAGAAAAGCAGCAGGUUAAUACCCCGCUGUUCUGACGGUACCCAAAGAAUAAGCACCGGCUAACUUCGUG
RNAcentral lists this ribosomal RNA (492 nucleotides) under uncultured bacterium. Its description in RNAcentral is "partial 16S ribosomal RNA". It matches the Rfam family "Bacterial small subunit ribosomal RNA", at positions 29 to 507 of the family's 1533-position model. The record is from RNAcentral.